CCUUCGAUAGCUCAGCGGUAGAGCGGAGGACUGUAGCGGGUCGGUCACAGGAAUCCUUAGGUCGCUGGUUCAAAUCCGGCUCGAAGGA
This 88-nucleotide transfer RNA is filed under the name Takifugu rubripes (torafugu). It matches the Rfam family "tRNA". From Rfam's summary of the family: Transfer RNA (tRNA) molecules are approximately 80 nucleotides in length. The record is from Rfam by way of RNAcentral. Lineage: Eukaryota; Metazoa; Chordata; Actinopteri; Tetraodontiformes; Tetraodontidae. RNAcentral also lists the same sequence under 3 other names.